GAAGCGAAGCCGCGAGGUAGAGCAAAUCUCAAAAAGACAUCUCAGUUCAGAUUGCAGGCUGCAACUCGCCUGCAUGAAGUCGGAAUUGCUAGUAAUCGUAGGUCAGCAUACUACGGUGAAUACGUUCCCGGGCCUUGUACACACCGCCCGUCAAACCAUGAGAGUUGGCAACACCCGAAGUCGGUAGUCUAACCGCAAGGGGGACGCCGCCGAAGGUGGGGUUGAUGAUUAGGGUUAAGUCGUAACAAGGUACC
Molecule: ribosomal RNA, 254 nt
Filed under: uncultured bacterium
Lineage: Bacteria
Description: partial 16S ribosomal RNA
Rfam family: Bacterial small subunit ribosomal RNA
Source: RNAcentral